Molecule: long non-coding RNA, 682 nt
Filed under: Hordeum vulgare
Lineage: Eukaryota; Viridiplantae; Streptophyta; Magnoliopsida; Poales; Poaceae
Description: long non-coding RNA (HVUL_LNC011590)
Source: RNAcentral
UUCUCUCUCUCCCCGUGGAAGCACAUGUUCCUUUAUCUCUGUGUUUUCUCUCUUCCACGUAUCUUCUUCUCUCCAUACUCUCUCUUUUUUCGGAUCGAAAAGAAAACCAUCAUCUCUGUGCAACCCAAAGGAAACGAGUUUGGUGCCAUGGAUCUAAUUGAUCAAGAUCUUACUGCCUCAAAUAUGAGUUGCUCAUCUAGAUCGGUCAUACUCUCCGAUCUGACACAAAUCUCGCUGAUCUCAGGUAACCAUGCUCUCAUCUUCGAAGUCAAAUCAUGGGCUGCUUUGAUCUAGAACAUCUGACAGACUAGGAGUAAUACUUAUAUGUUUUCCAUACAUGGAUGCAUUGGUGUGAUCCUCCUGUAGGUUCUAAAUCGUUGAAUCACACCCAGAUCUGAAGUGGUGUAUCCCUUUGUUGGAGGCCUCUAAUCUAAUCUCCUCAUCCAAGUCUAACACGUCCCGCUCUCCGGGAUUUCUUUGGUUGAUGAAGAAGAAGGGUUCCAAAUUCUGACCCUGUUGUACUGGUGGCACAGUCCGUCUUCGCCAAUGCAACAAGCGGAGUUCGUUCCAGCGAUCACACAUCUAUGGAAGCUAAUUCAACUACUUUUUGGACUGAGUAGAUGGGGAAAAACAGGCAAGUACAUGGCAGCUAGCUGAUUGAUUCAUGUAUAGUACAUGCACG